ACCAAUGAGGAAUCUGAAGGAAGCCGUAGUCAAAUCUGCCAUCCGAGCUUGGUGCGAACCGCCGGAAGGCUGUGCGGAGAGGACGAGGUACCCUCGUCUGCCGAAGUCCGAUAUCCUUUCCGUAACCCGGCACAGCAGAAGAGGCGGAUGGGCAGGGAAAGCUGAUGAU
Non-coding RNA from Desulfobacteraceae bacterium 4572_88, 169 nucleotides. The record is from Rfam. NCBI's taxonomy places the organism in Bacteria, Pseudomonadati, Thermodesulfobacteriota, Desulfobacteria, Desulfobacterales, Desulfobacteraceae.